Molecule: ribosomal RNA, 441 nt
Filed under: uncultured bacterium
Lineage: Bacteria
Description: partial 16S ribosomal RNA
Rfam family: Bacterial small subunit ribosomal RNA
Source: RNAcentral
CCUACGGGAGGCUGCAGUGGGGAAUAUUGGGCAAUGGAGGAAACUCUGACCCAGCAACGCCGCGUGAAGGAUGAAGGUUUUCGGAUUGUAAACUUCUGUCGCGAGGGAUGAAGAAUGACGGUACCUCGUAAGAAAGCCCCGGCAAACUACGUGCCAGCAGCCGCGGUAAUACGUAGGGGGCGAGCGUUGUCCGGAAUGACUGGGCGUAAAGGGAGUGUAGGCGGCAUAUUAAGUUAUGUGUGAAAGCCCGCGGCUCAACCGCGGAAUUGCACAUAAAACUGGUAAGCUGGAGUGCAGGAGAGGUAAGCGGAAUUCCCAGUGUAGCGGUGAAAUGCGUAGAUAUUGGGAGGAACACCAGUGGCGAAGGCGGCCUGCUGGACAUUAACUGACGCUGAGGCGCGAAAGCGUGGGUAUCGAACAGGAUUAGAUACCCGUGUAGUC